This 2994-nucleotide long non-coding RNA is filed under the name Lactuca sativa (garden lettuce). Its description in RNAcentral is "long non-coding RNA (LSAT_LNC006790)". Lineage: Eukaryota; Viridiplantae; Streptophyta; Magnoliopsida; Asterales; Asteraceae. The record is from RNAcentral.
UAAUGAAUACCCGUUUUAGUUCUCAAGUAAGUAAUUAUAGUAACACAAAACACCUCUAUGGUAUUUUAGACUUAGGUUCUGUUAUAAUGUUCUCAUUAUGGUAAUGUCGGUAAGUUUUUAGCCUUGUCGCCAUAUCACAACCAUUCUUGAGCAUAUGCUAAUCACUCCUCGGACCAGCAUAGUUGAUUAGGCUAUGCUACUCCCAAGACUGACCAUACAUCCCCAGGCUUACUUGUGAUAUUCAACAAUAGUAAUACUUUUGUUCUUGUCAUUGUGACACUGAUUUUAGUAUGAAUGCAAGCACGUAUACUUAUUUAAAUAAUUUAUUAUUUAAAAGUAUAACUCUUAGAUAGAGUGUUUUAAUCCCAAUGUAUUUAUAGUUAGUAUAUCUUUUAUGGGUUGAUAUACUUAAUUCACUAUAAACAAUGCUCUGAUACCAAUCUGUCACACCCCAAAACCAAGAACGGCGGAAACGUUCCGGGGUGGAGGACGUCAUGUGAAGUAUCAUAACAGUGUAAAGUAGUAAACAAGCAACAACAUCAUCCAUUGCAUUAAAAGUAAAGUUUUAAUACAUGUGUGUUCUUUCAUAAUGUACAACAAUAAAAUGAAUAAUCAAAAUAAGACGAGUCUUGUCUGUGCUCCGUCUUCUCAAAACCUGGCCAUCGUACCUGUCUAACCGGUGACCUGAGAAUACAAGUUAUUUUGAAAGCGAGUAUCAGCCUAAAGCUGGUGAAUUCAUAAGUAUUUAAGUGUCAUUGUCUUGUUUUGGAAAGCUGUUAUGAAUGCCAUGUAAAUCUUUAAAUGAAACAAUUGAUAUAAGUAUGAAAAACCCUAGAAAAUCCCAUCUUUCCUACUAGUAUGAAAUGUAGUCUUCUACCAAGACCCGAAUCUUUUGUUAUGACAAUGUAGUCUUCUACCAAGACCCGAAUGUUUUACUAUGAUAAUGAUAGUUUUCCUUCUUUUUGACUAUUACAAACAGUACUUAGUCUAACUCAUCGUUUAUGUGAAUGUAUCACAAAAUAAAGUAAAUAGGAAAAGAAUAUAAUAGUCUUCUACCAAGACCCGAAUGUUUUGCUAUGAAAAUGAUAGUUUUUCCAUCUUUUUGACUAUUACAAAUAGUACUUAGUCUAACUCAUCGUUUAUGUGAAUGUAUCACAAAAUAAAGUAAUAGGAAAAAUAUAAUCAUGUAAGUGUUAUCCUUUUGUAUUAGGAUUAACAUGACAUCGCGAUUUGCGAAAUGUAUAACCUUUGAACAUCCGUAGAUUGUUCAAUUGUCCUCUGUAGCUACAACAGGGCGGAGGAAGGGUUAGUCCCGUUAAGGUACUCCUAAUAUAAGUAUUAACCGUAGGCAUUCGUAGAUGUUCAUCGACCUCUGUAGCGAACAGUAGGCCCGAGGAAUGGUUUGUCCCGUAGAGGUACUCCUAGUAUAAGUAAUAACCGUAGGCAUCCGUAGAUGUUCAUCAACCACUGGUGCUAACAGUUGGUAAGUUUUUAGACUUGUUGCCAUAUCACAACCAUUCUUGGGCAUGUGCUAAUCACUCCUCAGAACAGCAUAGUUGAUCAGGCUAUGCUACUCCCAAGACUGACCAUACAUCCCCAGGCUUACUUGUGAUAUUCAACAAUCGUAAUACUUUUGUUCUUGUCAUUGUGACACUGAUUUUAGUAUGAAUGCAGGCACUUAUACUUACUUAAAUAAUUUAUUAUUUAAAAGUAUAACUCUUAGAGAGAGUGUUUUAAUCCCAAUGUAUUUAUAAUUAGUAUAUCUUUUAUGGGUUGAUAUACUUAAUUCACUAUAAAAAAUGCUCUGAUACCAAUCUGUCACACCCCAAAACCAAGAACGACGGAAACGUUCCGGGGUGGAGGACGUCAUGUGAAGUAUCAUAACAGUGUAAAGUAGUAAACAAGCAACAACAUCAUCCAUUGCAUUAAAAGUAAAGUUUUAAUACAUGUGUGUUCUUUCAUAAUGUACAACAAUAAAAUGAAUAAUCAAAAUAAGACGAGUCUUGUCUGUGCUCCGUCUUCUCAAAACCUGGCCAUCGUACCUGUCUAACCGGUGACCUGAGAAUACAAGUUAUUUUGAAAGUGAGUAUCAGCCUAAAGCUGGUGAAUUCAUAAGUAUUUAAGUGUCAUUGUCUUGUUUUGGAAAGCUAUUAUGAAUGCCAUGUAAAUCUUUAAAUGAAACAAUUGAUAUAAGUAUGAAAAACCCUAGAAAAUCCCAUCUUUCCUACUAGUAUGAAAUGUAGUCUUCUACCAAGACCCGAAUCUUUUGUUAUGACAAUGUAGUCUUCUACCAAGACCCGAAUGUUUUACUAUGAUAAUGAUAGUUUUCCUUCUUUUUGACUAUUACAAACAGUACUUAGUCUAACUCAUCGUUUAUGUGAAUGUAUCACAAAAUAAAGUAAAUAGGAAAAGAAUAUAAUAGUCUUCUACCAAGACCCGAAUGUUUUGCUAUGAAAAUGAUAGUUUUUCCAUCUUUUUGACUAUUACAAAUAGUACUUAGUCUAACUCAUCGUUUAUGUGAAUGUAUCACAAAAUAAAGUAAUAGGAAAAAUAUAAUCAUGUAAGUGUUAUCCUUUUGUAUUAGGAUUAACAUGACAUCGCGAUUUGCGAAAUGUAUAACCUUUGAACAUCCGUAGAUUGUUCAAUUGUCCUCUGUAGCUACAACAGGGCGGAGGAAGGGUUAGUCCCGUUAAGGUACUCCUAAUAUAAGUAUUAACCGUAGGCAUUCGUAGAUGUUCAUCGACCUCUGUAGCGAACAGUAGGCCCGAGGAAUGGUUUGUCCCGUAGAGGUACUCCUAGUAUAAGUAAUAACCGUAGGCAUCCGUAGAUGUUCAUCAACCACUGGUGCUAACAGUUGGUAAGUUUUUAGACUUGUUGCCAUAUCACAACCAUUCUUGGGCAUGUGCUAAUCACUCCUCAGAACAGCAUAGUUGAUCAGGCUAUGCUACUCCCAAGACUGACCAUACAUCCCCAGGCUUACUUGUGAUAUUCAAC